UACGAAGGGGGCUAGCGUUGCUCGGAAUCACUGGGCGUAAAGGGCGCGUAGGCGGCCAUUCAAGUCGGGGGUGAAAGCCCAGGGCUCAACCCUGGAAUUGCCUUCGAUACUGUUUGGCUAGAGACCGGAAGAGGUGAGUGGAAUUCCGAGUGUAGAGGUGAAAUUCGUAGAUAUUCGGAAGAACACCAGUGGCGAAGGCGGCUCACUGGCUCGGAACUGACGCUGAGGUGCGAAAGCGUGGGGAGCAAACAGG
RNAcentral lists this ribosomal RNA (253 nucleotides) under uncultured bacterium. Its description in RNAcentral is "partial 16S ribosomal RNA". It matches the Rfam family "Bacterial small subunit ribosomal RNA", at positions 524 to 776 of the family's 1533-position model. The record is from RNAcentral.